This 321-nucleotide long non-coding RNA is filed under the name Gossypium barbadense (sea-island cotton). RNAcentral's name for it is "long non-coding RNA (GBAR_LNC002408)". Lineage: Eukaryota; Viridiplantae; Streptophyta; Magnoliopsida; Malvales; Malvaceae. The record is from RNAcentral.
CUCAUUGAAAGGUUUAUUCAAAGCUCCCAUUCUCAUCUUCCUUAGGCCGCUAUUGCCUUAUUUUUCUUGAUAGAUAUUUAGAAGCCUAGUAAAGCAUAAUAAAAAUGAUUUUUUGCUGUGUAGUCGACCUCCAGCCUGCCUUGUAAUCGAUAAGAAAGAACAUUACUGUCAUCUUGGAGAAAGAUUCAAGAGUCUUAGGAUGAAAAUACAUAUAUAGAUAGUGGUCUAAUGAUAAAGGCGGACGACAGAAGUGAGGCAUUUGUUAUGUUCUUUAUUGCUGUAAGGAAGUUUCGUCUUGUCACGAGCCGGAUUUGAACCAGC